ACACUGAUGGUGAAGUGGUUAUCAUGCUUGCCUUCCAUUGUAUGUAGGGUAACCUUAGCCAAUGUAAGCAAGCGGCAGGGGUUCGAUUCCCCUUCAGUGUA
Termitomyces sp. Mi166#008 is the source of this 101-nucleotide non-coding RNA. The record is from the annotation of a GenBank genome assembly. Lineage: Eukaryota; Fungi; Basidiomycota; Agaricomycetes; Agaricales; Lyophyllaceae.